Molecule: transfer RNA, 72 nt
Filed under: Mus musculus (house mouse)
Lineage: Eukaryota; Metazoa; Chordata; Mammalia; Rodentia; Muridae
Rfam family: tRNA
About the family: Transfer RNA (tRNA) molecules are approximately 80 nucleotides in length. Their secondary structure includes four short double-helical elements and three loops (D, anti-codon, and T loops).
Source: Rfam by way of RNAcentral
GGAGAGAUGGCUCAGUGGUUAAGAGCUUUGUUUUUGCUCUAACAGAGGACCUGGGUUCGAUUCCCAGCACCU